GGAGGAAUAUUGGUCAAUGGGCGGAAGCCUGAACCAGCCAAGUAGCGUGCAGGAUGACGGCCCUACGGGUUGUAAACUGCUUUUAGGCGGGGGUAAAGGGGCGGACGUGUUCCGCCUUUGCAGGUACCGUCAUAAGAAGGACCGGCUAAUUCCGUGCCAGCAGCCGCGGUAAUACGGAAGGUCCGGGCGUUAUCCGGAUUUAUUGGGUUUAAAGGGAGCGUAGGUGGACUGUCAAGUCAGUUGUGAAAUCCGCGGGCUCAACCUGCGGCCUGCAGUUGAAACUGGCGGUCUUGAGUCCGUUCAGGGAUGCUGGAAUUCAUGGUGUAGCGGUGAAAUGCUCAGA
Molecule: ribosomal RNA, 343 nt
Filed under: uncultured Prevotellaceae bacterium
Lineage: Bacteria; Pseudomonadati; Bacteroidota; Bacteroidia; Bacteroidales; Prevotellaceae
Description: bacterial SSU rRNA
Rfam family: Bacterial small subunit ribosomal RNA
Source: RNAcentral